GGGUUGUGAGGUUAAGCGACUAAGCGUACACGGUGGAUGCCCUGGCAGUCAGAGGCGAUGAAGGGCGUGCUAAUCUGCGAUAAGCGCCGGUAAGGUGAUAUGAACCGUUAUAACCGGCGAUACCCGAAUGGGGAAACCCAGUGUGAUUCGUCACACUAUCAUUAACUGAAUCCAUAGGUUAAUGAGGCGAACCGGGGGAACUGAAACAUCUAAGUACCCCGAGGAAAAGAAAUCAACCGAGAUUCCCCCAGUAGCGGCGAGCGAACGGGGAGGAGCCCAGAGCCUGAAUCAGCAUGUGUGUUAGUGGAAGCGUCUGGAAAGGCGCGCGAUACAGGGUGACAGCCCCGUACACAAAAGCGCAUGUGCUGUGAGCUCGAUGAGUAGGGCGGGACACGUGGUAUCCUGUCUGAAUAUGGGGGGACCAUCCUCCAAGGCUAAAUACUCCUGACUGACCGAUAGUGAACCAGUACCGUGAGGGAAAGGCGAAAAGAACCCCGGCGAGGGGAGUGAAAAAGAACCUGAAACCGUGUACGUACAAGCAGUGGGAGCACAGGUUUACCUGUGUGACUGCGUACCUUUUGUAUAAUGGGUCAGCGACUUAUAUUCUGUAGCAAGGUUAACCGAAUAGGGGAGCCGGAGGGAAACCGAGUCUUAAUUGGGCGUUAAGUUGCAGGGUAUAGACCCGAAACCCGGUGAUCUAGCCAUGGGCAGGUUGAAGGUUGGGUAACACUAACUGGAGGACCGAACCGACUAAUGUUGAAAAAUUAGCGGAUGACCUGUGGCUGGGGGUGAAAGGCCAAUCAAACCGGGAGAUAGCUGGUUCUCCCCGAAAGCUAUUUAGGUAGCGCCUCGUGAAUUCAUCUCCGGGGGUAGAGCACUGUUUCGGCUAGGGGGCCAUCCCGGCUUACCAACCCGAUGCAAACUGCGAAUACCGGAGAAUGUUAUCACGGGAGACACACGGCGGGUGCUAACGUCCGUCGUGAAGAGGGAAACAACCCAGACCGCCAGCUAAGGUCCCAAAGUCAUGGUUAAGUGGGAAACGAUGUGGGAAGGCCCAGACAGCCAGGAUGUUGGCUUAGAAGCAGCCAUCAUUUAAAGAAAGCGUAAUAGCUCACUGGUCGAGUCGGCCUGCGCGGAAGAUGUAACGG
Molecule: ribosomal RNA, 1148 nt
Filed under: Salmonella enterica subsp. enterica serovar Infantis
Lineage: Bacteria; Pseudomonadati; Pseudomonadota; Gammaproteobacteria; Enterobacterales; Enterobacteriaceae
Description: partial 23S ribosomal RNA
Rfam family: Bacterial large subunit ribosomal RNA
Source: RNAcentral